Molecule: ribosomal RNA, 503 nt
Filed under: uncultured bacterium
Lineage: Bacteria
Description: bacterial SSU rRNA
Rfam family: Bacterial small subunit ribosomal RNA
Source: RNAcentral
GAUGAGCGCUAGCGGCAGGCCUAAUACAUGCAAGUCGAGGGGCAGCGGGAGUAGCAAUACUUGCCGGCGACCGGCGCACGGGUGCGUAACACGUAUAUAAUCUACCUGAAACUGGGGGAUAGCCCGGAGAAAUCCGGAUUAAUACCCCAUAACAUUGCGAGAUGGCAUCAUUUUGCAAUUAAACCUCCGGGGGUUUUGGAUGAGUAUGCGUUCGAUUAGCUAGUUGGUGAGGUAACGGCUCACCAAGGCGACGAUCGAUAGGGGUACUGAGAGGUUACACCCCCACACUGGUACUGAGACACGGACCAGACUCCUACGGGAGGCAGCAGUAAGGAAUAUUGGACAAUGGUCGCAAGACUGAUCCAGCCAUGCCGCGUGCAGGAUGACUGCCCUAUGGGUUGUAAACUGCUUUUGUACGGGAAUAAACCCUUCUACGUGUAGAGGGCUGAAUGUACCGUAAGAAUAAGGGUCGGCUAACUUCGUGCCAGCAGCCGCGGUAAGAC